Molecule: unclassified non-coding RNA, 764 nt
Filed under: Asclepias syriaca
Lineage: Eukaryota; Viridiplantae; Streptophyta; Magnoliopsida; Gentianales; Apocynaceae
Description: partial external transcribed spacer
Source: RNAcentral
CAUGCCCCGGCACGGGAUGCGCCUCUUCAUUUUCUUUGCUGGCCGCGGCCCUCUUCGUUCGCCGUCAUAUGGGAUUUGGAUCGUUCCCCGAAUCCUCCCUUAUAAAUUGGUCCCCUCGCUUCCGUUUGUUUUCUUACGUGCGCCCGGCGGGUGCGUCUUGUGCUUAGGCGCAUGCGCGCCCGGCGGGAGGCACACUCGGCACCUGUCCCUUGUUCGUCACGCGUUCGUUCGGCGCACAAGUUGGGCUAUCAAGUUUCCCCGGUUGGGUUGUCGUUCCCGCGCGGACGGCUGCUCUCGUGGUGCGACUUGACUGCCCGGCAUGUGUCAUACGUUACGGCGCAUGAGUGGUGGCUUUGCGCGGUGGGGUGCGUCGUUUCCCUGCUCGGGUGCAGCGGCGCCGCACCCCCCGCGAGUCUUCAGCCUUGGCUCAAGUGCGGCACAGCCUUGGCCGAGACCCGGUUUCUUGUGUUGCGUACCUACUGCACGAUGGCAUUUGCUCUCGUCCCGACGUCCCUCGUUCGUUUCGUGCUCCCCGCUUCGUUCGGGGGCACGGGGCGAAACUCGUAUCUCUCGGUCCGUUACCCAAGUCGCGUCCGGCUGUGGCGGUGAACGGUCAGUGAUUAAGCUCUCGGAUACGGAAAGCAUUGAGGGCAAGCGACAUCUCGUCCUCGCCCGAGCAUGCGUAACAUAGACCCUAACGACGGUGCACGACAGUCGCUCCCGCCUCGGUUCGGCCGUGCGGGCAGGACGUCGUCGAGGAAUGC